Molecule: non-coding RNA, 680 nt
Organism: Myodes glareolus (Bank vole)
Lineage: Eukaryota; Metazoa; Chordata; Mammalia; Rodentia; Cricetidae
Source: RefSeq, a predicted model, not a curated record
AGUGCACAUGCGCAAAUGCAAGUCCAUGGCUACCAGUGUGAGUACCUGUGCUUACUAGUUCUCAUGAACUUGACCUCAUCAACAGGCACAGUCUGUGUUCAGUGCGCAGGCGCAGAGUAAAGCCUGUUCACUCCUCUCCCUUACAGCCUUGUGAUCAAAGGACCACAUCUUGAUGAUGUAGGCUUGUUAACUGGUUCACAGCUCUGAGAACGCUGUCUAUGCACGGGACUCUCUUGAAAACAAGUUGAAGGCGAGGAAGUUGAAGCAAAGUUUACAAGAAAAUUCAAAUAACCCUCUGGUUUCGCUGUGUUAUCUCUGGCUGUCUGGAACUCACUCUGUAGACCAGGCUGGCCUCUAACUCAUAGAGAGCCUCCUGCCUCCCGAGUGCUGGGAUUAAAGCGUGCACCACAAUUGCCCGGCCAAGUUACUCUAAUAUCAACAAAAACUUGGGAGCCGAAUAUCAGGCCAGAAGAUGACAUUUAGAUGCCUUGGAACUGGAAUCAGAGAUGAUUGUAAACCCACGAUUUGGGUGUUGAGAAGAGCCUUGGCCCUCUGCAAGAGCAGCAAUGUUCUUAACUAAUGAGCCAGCAUUCCAGACCCUUUCCCCAGUCUCUGUUAUGCUGUUCUCUUUUCUUUUGUUUCAGGAAAAUUUUAUUUUCCAUUAAAAAACCUUGUAUUUA